GGGUUUCAUUACGCAUGGGAUUUUUGGUGCUGUGGAAGAGGUACUUGAGAGUGGAGAAGGUGUUUUGACUGAUAUUUUAUUUGUAUGUGUGACAGGCAAUUAGGAUCAUUCAUGCUGUCCUGGAGAAGUAUGGUACCUAUGAGAGUUUUGAAGUUGCCACUGGAGGAAGACUGCUGAGCAAAUGCCAAAUCUGGUCUGUUAUCCGAAAGUACAUGCAGAAGGAAGGCUGUGUGGGAGAGGACUGAGAUGAUGUUGCCAGAGCUCAGAUGCCUGCUUAUGUGGAUCUCCCAGCUGCUCCCAGUUUGCAGCAAAGAAAUCCCUGCCUAUAUUGGGCAAUUAAGAGUGACAAGAGAGCAAGACGUCCACUCCCUGCCAGCUGAGCAUCAUGUGGUAACUGGUGUCCUGACAGUGGAGAUCCACAAGCUGUCAGAGUGCCUCAUGUCCAGUGCUCCCUAUAAAAGCUGCAGGUCAAACAUCAAAGACCUAGGGACCAGGGACUGUCGGGAGUGCAGGCACCAGUUCUGCGCUGAAGAACACAGACACUGGCACCAAACAGCAGUGUCUUCAAGGGAGCAAGAAAAGUGCUGUAACAGUGAAAUGUACUCCUUAUCUGUGUGGGGUUUUGUUUGGUUGUUUUUCUUAACUCUAUCCUCUGCCUCCCCUUCCCUUCCCAGGGUUUCAACCUCAACUAGUUAUAUUUGGGAUUGCAAUGUAAAAUGACAAGAUUGUACUCCUGUUGCAUAGAACUGACAUAAGAGAUUAGAAAAGGUUAAAAUAAAAUGAAAGAUUGCAAAGGUAAGCCUUUGAAA
Molecule: long non-coding RNA, 809 nt
Organism: Apteryx rowi (Okarito brown kiwi)
Lineage: Eukaryota; Metazoa; Chordata; Aves; Apterygiformes; Apterygidae
Source: Ensembl